Molecule: ribosomal RNA, 440 nt
Filed under: uncultured bacterium
Lineage: Bacteria
Description: partial 16S ribosomal RNA
Rfam family: Bacterial small subunit ribosomal RNA
Source: RNAcentral
CCUACGGGAGGCAGCAGUGGGGGAUAUUGCACAAUGGGGGAAACCCUGAUGCAGCGACGCCGCGUGUGGGAAGACGGUCCUCUGGAUUGUAAACCACUGUCCCCAGGGACGAAAAUGACGGUACUUGGGGAGGAAGCUCCGGCGAACUACGUGCCAGCAGCCGCGGUAAUACGUUGGGAGCGAGCGUUGCCCGGAAUUACUGGGUGAAAGGGGAGCGUAGGCGGGGAUGCAAGUUGGGUGUCAAAACUACCGGCUCAACUGGGAGUCGCACUCAAAACUGCAGCUCUUGAGUGAAGUAGAGGCAGGCGGAAUUCCUAGUGUAGCGGUGAAAUGCGUAGAUAUUAGGAGGAACACCAGUGGCGAAGGCGGCCUGCUGGGCUUUUACUGACGCUGAGGCUCGAAAGUGUGGGGAGCAAACAGGAUUAGAUACCCGGGUAGUC